CGUCCUCUGCUGUGGACGACAGCGUGCGCAAACAUUCGCCUUGUCCCUUAAUUGCGACCGCGGGGAUGCAACGGAAGCCCGGCGUGCAAAUCCGCCCUGGUAGCGGGAAGCCCGAAGGCCUCCAAGCGUUCCCACUUGAACCACGGGUUCAAGGUCGUUUCGCGCGCAUCGCCAUCGGCGGAGGAUUC
Non-coding RNA from Lysobacter concretionis Ko07 = DSM 16239, 188 nucleotides. It matches the Rfam family "6S / SsrS RNA". Rfam says of the family: E. coli 6S RNA was the first non coding RNA to be sequenced, but its function was unknown until recently. It consists of 184 nucleotides that fold into an extended hairpin structure with a large single-stranded internal bulge. The record is from Rfam. Lineage: Bacteria; Pseudomonadati; Pseudomonadota; Gammaproteobacteria; Lysobacterales; Lysobacteraceae.